UUAAAUAAACCUAAAUAUUAGGAUACCACUGUUAAUGGUAGAUCAUGAAACCCCUUAUUUCAUUAUUUAAA
Molecule: transfer RNA, 71 nt
Filed under: Pseudachorutes palmiensis
Lineage: Eukaryota; Metazoa; Arthropoda; Collembola; Poduromorpha; Neanuridae
Description: tRNA-Asn
Source: RNAcentral